GGGUCCUUUCGGGGACUUAGUGGCGGACGGGUGAGUAACGCGUGAGAAUCUGCCUUCAGGACGGGGACAACAGUUGGAAACGACUGCUAAGACCCGAUGUGCCGAGAGGUGAAAUAUUUAUAGCCUGAAGAUGAGCUCGCGUCUGAUUAGCUAGUUGGUGGGGUAAGAGCCCACCAAGGCGACGAUCAGUAGCUGGUCUGAGAGGAUGAUCAGCCACACUGGGACUGAGACACGGCCCAGACUCCUACGGGAGGCAGCAGUGGGGAAUUUUCCGCAAUGGGCGAAAGCCUGACGGAGCAAGACCGCGUGAGGGAGGAAGGUCUGUGGAUUGUAAACCUCUUUUCUCAAGGAAGAAGAUCUGACGGUACUUGAGGAAUCAGCAUCGGCUAACUCCGUGCCAGCAGCCGCGGUAAUACGGAGGAUGCAAGCGUUAUCCGGAAUUAUUGGGCGUAAAGCGUCCGUAGGUGGUUUUACAAGUCAGUUGUUAAAGCGUGGAGCUCAACUCCAUAAAGGCAAUUGAAACUGUGAGACUAGAGUUUGGUAGGGGUAAGGGGAAUUCCCAGUGUAGCGGUGAAAUGCGUAGAUAUUGGGAAGAACACCGGUGGCGAAAGC
This 612-nucleotide ribosomal RNA is filed under the name Pleurocapsa sp. MGCY520. RNAcentral's name for it is "bacterial SSU rRNA". It matches the Rfam family "Bacterial small subunit ribosomal RNA", at positions 69 to 722 of the family's 1533-position model. The record is from RNAcentral. Lineage: Bacteria; Bacillati; Cyanobacteriota; Cyanophyceae; Pleurocapsales; Pleurocapsaceae.